RNAcentral lists this ribosomal RNA (497 nucleotides) under uncultured bacterium. RNAcentral describes it as "partial 16S ribosomal RNA". It matches the Rfam family "Bacterial small subunit ribosomal RNA", at positions 28 to 507 of the family's 1533-position model. The record is from RNAcentral.
GAUGAACGCUGGCGGCGUGCCUAAUACAUGCAAGUCGAGCGAACAGACGAGGAGCUUGCUCCUCUGACGUUAGCGGCUGACGGGUGAGUAACACGUGGAUAACCUACCUAUAAGACUGGGAUAACUUCGGGAAACCGGAGCUAAUACCGGAUAAUAUAUUGAACCGCAUGGUUCAAUAGUGAAUGACGGUUUUGCUGUCACUUAUAGAUGAUUCCGCGCCGCAUUAGCUAGUUGGUAAGGUAACGGCUUACCAAGGCAACGAUGCGUAGCCGACCUGAGAGGGUGAUCGGCCACACUGGAACUGAGACACGGUCCAGACUCCUACGGGAGGCAGCAGUAGGGAAUCUUCCGCAAUGGGCGAAAGCCUGACGGAGCAACGCCGCGUGAGUGAUGAAGGUCUUCGGAUCGUAAAACUCUGUUAUUAGGGAAGAACAAAUGUGUAAGUAACCAUGCACGUCUUGACGGUACCUAAUCAGAAAGCCACGGCUAACUACGUG